UACAGAGGUCCCAAGCGUUGUUCGGAUUCACUGGGCGUACAGGGUGUGUAGGCGGCCCGGUAAGUCCGCUCUGAAAGUCCAGGGCUCAACCCUGGAAAGCGGGUGGAUACUGCCGGGCUAGAAUCCGGAAGAGGCGAGUGGAAUUCCUGGUGUAGCGGUGGAAUGCGCAGAUAUCAGGAGGAACACCAAUAGCGAAGGCAGCUCGCUGGGACGGUAUUGACGCUAAGGCGCGAAAGCGUGGGGAGCAAACAGG
RNAcentral lists this ribosomal RNA (253 nucleotides) under uncultured bacterium. RNAcentral describes it as "partial 16S ribosomal RNA". It matches the Rfam family "Bacterial small subunit ribosomal RNA", at positions 524 to 776 of the family's 1533-position model. The record is from RNAcentral.